RNAcentral lists this ribosomal RNA (465 nucleotides) under uncultured Latescibacterota bacterium. RNAcentral describes it as "bacterial SSU rRNA". It matches the Rfam family "Bacterial small subunit ribosomal RNA", at positions 920 to 1382 of the family's 1533-position model. Lineage: Bacteria; Pseudomonadati; Candidatus Latescibacterota. The record is from RNAcentral.
CCCGCACAAGCGGUGGAGCUAUGUGGUUUAAUUCGACGCAACGCGAAGAACCUUACCUGGAUUUGACAUCUCGGGAAUCUUUAUGAAAGUAGAGAGUGCCUUUCGAGGAACCCGAAGACAGGUGCUGCAUGGCUGUCGUCAGCUCGUGUUGUGAAAUGUUGGGUUAAGUCCCGCAACGAGCGCAACCCUUAUCCCUAGUUGCCAUCAGGUAAAGCUGGGAACUCUGGGGAGACUGCCGGUGAUAACCGGAGGAAGGCGGGGAUGACGUCAAGUCCUCAUGGCCCUUACAUCCCGGGCUACACACGUGCUACAAUGGCAGGUACAGAGGGCUGCGAAGCCGCGAGGUGGAGCGAAUCCCAGAAAACCUGUCUCAGUCCGGAUUGAAGUCUGCAACUCGACUUCAUGAAGGCGGAAUCGCUAGUAACCGCGAAUCAGCAGGUCGCGGUGAAUACGUUCCCGGGCCUU